CCUACGGGAGGCAGCAGUGGGGAAUCUUCCGCAAUGGACGAAAGUCUGACGGAGCAACGCCGCGUGAGUGAUGAAGGCCUUCGGGUUGUAAAACUCUGUUGUCAGGGACGAAAGCACCGAUCUAUAAUACAUUUUGGUGUUGACGGUACCUGACGAGGAAGCCACGGCUAACUACGUGCCAGCAGCCGCGGUAAUACGUAGGUGGCAAGCGUUGUCCGGAAUUAUUGGGCGUAAAGAGCAUGUAGGCGGGCUUUUAAGUCCGACGUGAAAAUGCGGGGCUUAACCCCGUAUGGCGUUGGAUACUGGAAGUCUUGAGUGCAGGAGAGGAAAGGGGAAUUCCCAGUGUAGCGGUGAAAUGCGUAGAUAUUGGGAGGAACACCAGUGGCGAAGGCGCCUUUCUGGACUGUGUCUGACGCUGAGAUGC
Molecule: ribosomal RNA, 424 nt
Filed under: uncultured Kineothrix sp.
Lineage: Bacteria; Bacillati; Bacillota; Clostridia; Lachnospirales; Lachnospiraceae
Description: bacterial SSU rRNA
Rfam family: Bacterial small subunit ribosomal RNA
Source: RNAcentral